GGCGCACGGGUGCGUAACGCGUAUGCAAUCUACCUUUUACAGAGGGAUAGCCCAGAGAAAUUUGGAUUAAUACCUCAUAGCAUUGCAGGAUGGCAUCAUCCAGCAAUUAAAGUCACAACGGUAAAAGAUGAGCAUGCGUCCCAUUAGCUAGUUGGUAAGGUAACGGCUUACCAAGGCUACGAUGGGUAGGGGUCCUGAGAGGGAGAUCCCCCACACUGGUACUGAGACACGGACCAGACUCCUACGGGAGGCAGCAGUGAGGAAUAUUGGACAAUGGGCGCAAGCCUGAUCCAGCCAUGCCGCGUGCAGGAUGACGGUCCUAUGGAUUGUAAACUGCUUUUGCACAGGAAGAAACAACGCUACGUGUAGCGUCUUGACGGUACUGUGAGAAUAAGGAUCGGCUAACUCCGUGCCAGCAGCCGCGGUAAUACGGAGGAUCCAAGCGUUAUCCGGAAUCAUUGGGUUUAAAGGGUCCGUAGGCGGGUUAGUAAGUCAGUGGUGAAAGCCCAUCGCUCAACGGUGGAACCGGCCAUUGAUACUGCUAGACUUGAAUUAUUAGGAAGUAACUAGAAUAUGUAGUGUAGCGGUGAAAUGCUUAGAGAUUACAUGGAAUACCAAUUGCGAAGGCAGGUUACUACUAAUGGAUUGACGCUGAUGGACGAAAGCGUGGGUAGCGAACAGGAUUAGAUACCCUGGUAGUCCACGCCGUAAACGAUGGAUACUAGCUGUUGGGAGCGAUCUCAGUGGCUAAGCGAAAGUGAUAAGUAUCCCACCUGGGGAGUACGUUCGCAAGAAUGAAACUCAAAGGAAUUGACGGGGGCCCGCACAAGCGGUGGAGCAUGUGGUUUAAUUCGAUGAUACGCGAGGAACCUUACCAAGGCUUAAAUGUAGAUUGACCGGUUUGGAAACAGACUUUUCGCAAGACAAUUUACAAGGUGCUGCAUGGUUGUCGUCAGCUCGUGCCGUGAGGUGUCAGGUUAAGUCCUAUAACGAGCGCAACCCCUGUUGUUAGUUGCCAGCGAGUCAUGUCGGGAACUCUAACGAGACUGCCAGUGCAAACUGUGAGGAAGGUGGGGAUGACGUCAAAUCAUCACGGCCCUUACGCCUUGGGC
This 1112-nucleotide ribosomal RNA is filed under the name Flavobacterium sp. RNAcentral describes it as "bacterial SSU rRNA". It matches the Rfam family "Bacterial small subunit ribosomal RNA", at positions 97 to 1214 of the family's 1533-position model. The record is from RNAcentral. Lineage: Bacteria; Pseudomonadati; Bacteroidota; Flavobacteriia; Flavobacteriales; Flavobacteriaceae.